UCCAGCAGCCGCGGUAAUACGUUCCCGGGCCUUGUACACACCGCCCGUCACGCCAUGGAAGCUCGGAGCGCCCGAAGUCGGUGUCGGAACUCGCAAGAGACCAAGCCGCCGAAGGCGAGCCGGGUGACUGGGGCGAAGUCGUAACAAGGUAGCCGUAGGGGAACCUGCGGCUGGAUCACCUCCUUUCCGGAGAAACGAGUAGAGAUCACCUCGGUGAACUCGAAAGUUCUCAAGGAUUUGUCGCACGCCUCCACAUUCAAGAUCUCAACUCGGUUGUUCCGCUGUUUGACAACGGAUGGUAGGUGUAGAUCGUUGGGAAAGCGAAUCCAAAACGAGAAAUGACGUUUCGUAGUUACUCGUUAUGAGAAGUCGCGCGUGCUCUGCUUGGAUAUCUGAAGAGGUAGUCAAGCGAGCGAAGGCAUGUGGGGGAUACCUAGGCACACAGAGA
This 448-nucleotide unclassified non-coding RNA is filed under the name uncultured Gemmatimonadota bacterium. Its description in RNAcentral is "uncultured Gemmatimonadetes bacterium partial contains 16S ribosomal RNA, 16S-23S ribosomal RNA intergenic spacer, and 23S ribosomal RNA". The stretch from base 1 to 186 matches the Rfam family "Bacterial small subunit ribosomal RNA", at positions 1348 to 1533 of the family's 1533-position model. The record is from RNAcentral. Lineage: Bacteria; Pseudomonadati; Gemmatimonadota.